GUUGGUGAUUUGUCGCAGGAGUCACACCUCUUCCCAUUUCGAACAGAGAAGUUAAGCCCUGUAGUACCGAUGAUACUCCUUGUGGGGAAAGUAGGCAGUCGCCAGCA
RNAcentral lists this ribosomal RNA (107 nucleotides) under bacterium. The record is from RNAcentral.